This 32663-nucleotide long non-coding RNA is filed under the name Homo sapiens (human). Its description in RNAcentral is "non-protein coding lnc-TNFSF4-3:2". Lineage: Eukaryota; Metazoa; Chordata; Mammalia; Primates; Hominidae. The record is from RNAcentral.
CUACCGCGGUCGCUGUUGGUGGCGCCGCCGGGCCUGCGACUAGGUGGCAUCCUUCAGACACUAUAGGCCGUCUCUGCACACGUGAUGCGGGGCUCGGUCACGUUGCCCCCUGGAAGCUUGAGGAUGCGCCAGGUUUGACUCUGCAGGGCGUACGCGCUUUAGGGAUGGAAGGAAGAGGAACGCGGCAGGAAGGCGAGCCCCAAGGUGGAGAAUCGCCUGGGCGCGCAGGCUGCGGCGGCUUCGCACAGCCGCCCUGGGCGCUGCACGGGUCCGCGCGCACCCUGCUGCGCACCCACUCGCGGCCAGCUCCCUACAGAGGAGUGGAGUGACUGCUCGACUACCACCCCUCUUUUAGUGUGAGCGUCUGGAGUCCUGACCGCCCCAGCCAGCCCAGCUACGAUGAACUGUCUAAGAGGAUGUGGCAAGACCCAGAAGUAUGGGUGACCUUAUGUCAGAGGAAGUGGCUUUCUUAUUGCAGCAAAAAUUCCCGUACCAAUGUCAGUGCUAGGAUGGAGUUUCACUGUGUCACCCAGGCUGGAGUGCAGUGGCACGAUCUCAGCUCAAUGCAACCUCUGUCUCCUGGGUUCAAGCAAAUCUCCUGCCUCAGCCUCUUGAGUAGCCUGAGUAGCUGGGACUAAAGGUAUGUGCCACCACACCUGGCUAAUUUUUGUAUUUUUAGUAGAGACAGGGUUUCACCACGUUGGCCAGGCUGGUCUUGAACUCCUGACCUCAAGUAAUCCACCCACCUUGGCCUCCCAAAGUGCUGGGAUUACAGGCAUGAGCCACUGUGCCCAGCCAACAUUUUUUCUUUCAUUUUGACUUUGGAGAAUCUGCUGAUACAUAUCUUAGGGAUGAUUUUCUUGAAUAGUUAUCUUACUGGGGUUCUCUUGUUCCUGAAUUUGAAUGUUGGCCUAUCUUGCUAGGUUGGGGUCAUUCUCCUGGAUGAUAUCCUGAAGUAUGUUUUCCAACUUGGUUCUAUUCUUCCUGUCUCUUUCAGGUACCCCAAUCAGUUGUAGGUUUGGUCCUUUUACAUAAACCCAUAUUUCUCAGAGGUUUUAUUCAUUCAUUUUCAUUCUUUUUUCUCUAUUCCUGUCUACCUGUCCUAUUUCAGAGAGAUAGUCUGCAAGCUCUGGGAUUCUUUGCUCUGCUUGGUCUAUUCUGCUAUUAAUACUUGGGAUUACAUUGCGAGUACUUGUAGUAUGUUUUUCAGCUCUGUGAGGUCGGUUAUGGUCCUUUCUAUACUGGCUGUUUUGGCUGUCAGCUCCUGCAUUGUUUUAUCAUGAUUCUUAGCUUCUUUGCCUUUGGUUAGGACAUACACCUUUAGCUCAGCAAAAUUGGCUUUUGUCCACAUUCUGAAGCUUACUUCUGUCAUCUUGGGCUCAGCCUAGUUCUGAGCCCUUGCUGGAGAGGUGUUGUGAUCAUUUGGAGGAAAAGGGGCUCUCUGGGUUUUUGAAUUUUCAAGAUUUUUGCGUUGAUUCUUUCUCAUUUUUGUGGGCUUAUCUAUCUUCGAUCUUUGAGGUUGCUGACCUUUGGAUGGCGCUUUCAUGGAUUGUUUUGUUUUUUCAUCUUUUUCUUUUAGCAGUCUGUUUACUCUUCCUUACAGAUGCUGCAGUUAGCUGGGGGUCCACUCUACACCCUGGUUGCCUCAGUUUUUCCUGUACUUGGAGGUAUCAGCAGUGAAUGCUAUGAAACAGCAAAGAUGGCAGCCUGCCCCUUCCCCUGGAAGCUCCAUCCCAGGGCGGUACUGUCCUGUUGCCAGCAUGAGCACACAGUAUGUAGGGGGUGGCUGGAGACCCCAGUUGGGACAUCUCACCUAGUCAGGAGGAACGGGAUCAGGGAUCCACUUAAAGAAGCAGUUGGGCUGUUUUUGAUAGAGCAGUUGUGCUGUGUUGGGGAUCCCAUCAGCCCCUUGUUGGUUUGGGCUCUCCGAGGCCCACAGGCUGAACUGGCUGAGGUGCCCAACAGCCAAGUUGGUGGCCCGCCUUCCCCUCUGGGCACUCUGUCCCAGGGAAAAAUUAGAAGUCUGUUGGCCACAGAACAUGGGCGGGGGUGGCUGGAUACCCCAGCUGGCAUGAUCUACCCGUCAAGGAAAAGUGGAUCAGGGUCCCACUUAAAGAAGCCAUCUGGCCAUGCCUCAAUAGAACAGCCUUGUUGUGCUGGGAAACUGCUUCUGCCCUUGUUGGCUUGGACUCUCUAAAGCCCACUGGUUGGAAUGGCUGAGUCAUUCAAACAGCCAGCUUGGUGGCCCUCCUUUCCUCCCCUCCUCCCCUCCCCUCCUCCUUCCCUCCUCGCCUCCCCUCGGGCAUGCUAUUCCAGAAAGAGAUCAGGAUCCGUUUGUGGAAUACAGGCAGAGAUGGCUGGAGGCCCCGGUUGGGAGGUCCCUCCCAGUGAAGAGGAAUGGAUUGGGGCCCCACUUAAAGAAGCAACCUGGCCACGUUCAGGCAAUGCCGCUGUAGUGUUCUGGGAAGACCCUUCCUUGUUUGAACCAUAUGGAUUCUCCGAAGCCCAUAGACUGAAAUGGCUGAGUCAACCAAACAGUAGAGAUGGCAGCCCACCCCUCCCACUGGGGACUCUGUCCCAUCACAGAGUCGUGCUCUGUCACCCAGGCUGGAGUACAGUGGCGUGAUGUCUGCUUACUGCAGCCUACACCUCCCAGUUCAAGUGAUUCUCCUGCCUCAGCCUUCCAAGUAGCUGGGAUUACAGGUAUUUGCUACCAAACCUGGCUAAUUGUUUGUGGUUUUAGUAGAGAUGAGAUUUCAUCAUGUUGGCCAGGCUAGUCUCGAACUCCUGGACUCAAGUGAUUCGCCUACUUCAGCCUCCCAAAGUGCUGGGAUUAUAGGUGUGAGCCACUGUGCCCGGUCCCACUGAGCCAAUUCUCUUAUUGCCACUUUGGACUCCUCCCAGUGAGGACAAAUAGACACUGAGGACAUCAUGAUAUGCAGAAAGAAACUUGGAGUGCAAGACAAGAGACCUGCACCUUUCUUUCAGCUCCGUUCCAAGCUGCUUGAUCACAGACAUCUCUUCUGUUAGAUGAGGAUAACAGGAUCUGCUCUACCUGCCCUGGAGGAUCUUUGCAAGAAUGAAGUUAGGGGGAAAAAAGUGACAGAACAUAUUGAAAACUUUUCAUAAAUAUCAGAUGCCUUAUUUGUUGUGACACUAUGGGUGGACAGAUGAUUUCAGUUGAGAGAAGAAUUAAGAUUCCUAUGCCCUGCGUUUAACUGGGUCUUGGUUACCCUGAAAGACUGAGAGAGCAAAACCCAAAUAUAGAGGGAGUUUUUCUUAACUGUCCUCCCACCAUGGCUUAUUUGCUUCCUUCUGAAAGUUCAAAAUUGAUGCUAUUAAUUUGGGGUGUCAGCAGUUAUUAAUGGAUCCUUGGGCCAGCAGAUUUUUGUUCCUGCUCUGGAGGGCAGGCAUAACUCUGAUGUGAAUUGGACGUGUUGAAUACUGGAGUGGAUUACUGAAAGAAGGAAGAAAGGGAAAGUUGCAUUUCUUGAGUGCCAAGAAUGGAUAUUUGAAACUUCAUUUAAUUAUACAGUAGUUCAGUGAGGUAGCAAUCACCAUCAACAUCUUGGAGAUAACAGGCUCAGGGAAGCUUAACAUGUUCUCAGUGACAGAACAUCAUACACACAAAGUGGCAGAAUUGGAGUUUGAAUUAGAAUGAUGCCAAAGCCAAUUAUUUUGUUCUCUAUCCCCCUGAGGUCUUAGGGCUCAUCUAAUACCCUUUUUUUGGCCUCUAAAACUUCUCCCUGCAUUUUCAGGUGAGAAAACUGAGUUCACUCCACAAUGACUGAACUAAUCUACACUCCCACCAGCAGUGUAUAAGUGUUCCCUUUUCUCUACUACCUCAUGAGCAUCUGUUAUUUUUUGACUUUUUAGUAAUAGCCAUUCUGACUGGUGUAACAUGGGAUCUCACUGUGGUUUUGAUUUUUAUUUCCCUAAUGAUUAGUAAUAUUGAGUAUUUUUCAUGUUUGUUGGCCGCAUGUAUGUCUUCUUUUGAAAAGUGUCUGUUCAUGUCCUUUGCCCACUUUUUAAAGGGGUAGUGUUUUUGCUUGUAUGUUUGUUUAAGUUUCUUGUACAUUCUGGAUAUUAGACAUUUGUCAGAUGUAGAGUUUGCAGAUAUUUAUCUCCCAUUCUGUAGGUUGCCUGUUUACUCUGACAGUUUCUUUUGUUGUGAAGAAGCUUGUUAGUUCAAGAGCUUCUUUAGGGUCCCAUUUGCCAAUUUUUGCUUUAUUGCAAUUGCUUUUGGCAUUUUUGUUGUGAAAUCUUUGCCAUUUUCUAUGUCCAGCAUGGUAUCACCUAGGUUAUCUUCGAGGGUUUUUAAAUUUUUAAGUUUUGCAUUUAGGUCUUUAAUUUAUCUUGAGUUGAUUUUUCGAUAUGGUGUAAGGAGAUUUUCAAUCUUCUGCAUAUGGCUAGGCUGUUUUCCCAGCACCAUUUAUUGAAUAGGAAAUCCUUUUACCAUUGCUUGUUUUUGUCACCUUUGUCAAAGAUCAGAUGGUUGUAGGUGUGUAGCUUUAUUUCUGGGCUGUCUAUUCUGUUCCAUUGUUCUAUGUGUCUGUUUUUAUACCAGUACCAUGCUGUUUCGGUUACUGUAGCCUUGUAGUACAGUUUGAAGUUGGGCAAUGUGAUUACCCUAGCUUUGUUCUUUUUGUUUAGGAUUGCCUUGGCUAUUCUGGCUCAUUUUUGGUUCCAUAUGAAUUUUAGGAUAGUUUUUUCUAGUUCAGUGAAGAAUGUCAUUGGUAGUUUGAUAGGAAUAGCAUUGAAUCUGUAAAUUGCUUUGGGCAGUAUGGCCAUUUUAAUGAUAUUGAUUCUUCCUAUCAAUGAGCAUGAAAUAUUCUUACAUUUGUUUGUGUCAUUUCUGAUUUCUUUGAGCAGAGUUUUGUAAUUUUCGUUGUACAGCUCUUUCACUUCCCUGAUUAGCUGUAUUACUAGGCAUUUUAUCCUUUUUGUGGCAAUUGUGAAUGGGAUUGCAUUCCUGAGUUGACUCUUGGCUUGGAUGCUAUUAGUGUAUAAGAAUGCUACUGAUUUUUGUACAUUGAUUUUGUAUACCAAAACUUUGCUGAACUUGCUUUUCAGCCCAGGGAGCUUUUGGGCUGAGACUAUGGGAUUUUCUAGAUAUAGAAUCAUGUCAUCUGCAAGCAUGGAUAGUUUGACUUCCUCUCUUCCUAUUUGCAUGCCUUUUGUUUCUUUCUCUUGCCUGAUUGCUCUGGCCUGGCUCCUAUUAUUUUAAAGUAUGUUCCUUGGACGUUGAAUUUUAUCAAAAGCCUUUUCUUCAUCUAUUGAGAUAAUCAUGUAGUUUUUGUCUUUAGUUCUGUUUAUGUGAUGAUUCACAUUUAUUGAUUUGCAUAUUGUAUUAGUCUGUUCUCACGCUGCUAAUAAAGACACACCAGAGACUGGAUAAUUUAUAAAAGAGAGGUUUAAUGGACGCACAAUUCCACAUGGCUGGGGCAGUCUCACAGUCAUGGUGGAAAGCAAAGGAGAAAGAAAGGCACAUAUUACAUGACAGCAGGCAAGACAGCUUGUGCAAGACAACUCCCGUUUAUAAAACCAUCAACUCUCAUGAGACUUAUUUACUACCAUGAGAACAAUAUGGGGGAAAUCACCCCUAUGAUUCAAUUAUCUCCAUCUGGCUCUACCCUUGACAUGUGGGGAUUAUUACAAUUCAAGGUGAGAUUUUGGUGGGGGGACACAACCCAACCAUAUCAUGUAUGUUGAAUGAACCUUGCAUCCAAGUGAUAUCAAACCUCUUCCUAAUUCCCUUUUCCUCCUACCCUUCCCAGUCUCUAAUAUCCUCCAUUCAUUCUAUUUUGUACUCCUGUGAGAUCAACUUUUUUUUAGCUUCCACAUAUGGGUAAAAAUAUCUGGUGUUUAGUUUUUUGUUCCUGGCUAGUUUCACUUAAUAUUAUGUCCUCCUGUUCCAUCCAUGGUGCUGUGAAUGGCAGGAUUUUAUUGGUUUUAUGGCUAGAUAAUAGCCCAGUGUGUAUAUAUACCAUAUUUUCUCCAUCCAUUCAUCUGCUGUUGGAGACCUAGAUUGAUUCCAUAUUUUGGCUAUUGUGACUAAACAAUAAACAUGGGGUUGCUACAAUAAACAUGGGGGUAUACAUGCAAAACAUUUCUUAACAUCUUUUUUUCUAACUCUUCUACCCCUUAUUUUAUCACCAAACCCUGCACUAUCUCCUGUUUUUUUUUUUUUUUUGAAAUAACUGGUGCUUGCUUUACAGGAAGCCCCAGAAAACACUGUGCCUUGGAAUUCCUAGGCACUUAACUUACAAAUAUAAUGGAACCAAGGAUCAGAAGCUGGAUUUGAAGACAUUGCAAGGAAGGUGUUUCCUAGAGUAAUCUAUAGAUGGAAUUGAUUCUGUAGAAAGGUGAUAAACCCUGACCAUUGAGUGUUGAAGCUAAGAUGAGGAGACUACUGGUAGAAAUAUUCAAAAGUAACUAAAACACAUAGGUGCUGGGGAUGGAUGGUUAGUCAGAUUAUUGACUCUCAUGGCUUGUAAUUAGUUUGUGAUCUGAAUUUAAAUUACUUAGGAAAGGAAUGGCUUUUCAGCAGAAAAAUAUAUGCAUCAAUAGCACCUACCAGUCCCAACAAAUGAUUCUAUAUAUUUUUUUAAGUUGGUGAAUUUUAUUAUAUUUUGCCACAAUUAAAAAUAAAAAAUAAUUUGAAGGGAAAUGAUUUUAACAAAUAAAAUAAAUGGAGUGGAAGGAAAUAUGGAGGGUUAGUAAUCAACAGGCAUUAAGUCCAGCAAGAUGAAUAAGCUCUAGAGAUCUGCUGAACGACAUGGUACUUAUAGUCAACAAUAAUUUAUUGUACACUUAAAAAUUUGUUGAGAUCUCACGUUGUGUUCUUGCCACAAUACAGUAAAAUAAAAAUAAGUUUUACACAUUUUUUAAAAGGUUAUACACCUCAUAAAAGUGAUAGAGAAGGAGACAGCCAAAUGCUGCCCAGGCCAUUGUGCACAUUGAGCUUAUCUAAACAUGCCCACAGUGAAAAAUUCUGUCCCUUAACACAUGCGUAGUAUGUGUAGACAAGCUCCUUGGGUUUUCCUACUUUACUGUGCAUUACAACUCAUGUGUCAAGUUCAAAGACAUUCUGUCCCUGAACACAUGCAUAGUAAGGGAAAUAAAUCAAUAUGGAGUGGCUCAGACUAAGGGCCCACCUGUGCACUGGGACAAUGGGGUGGACCCACCUGGAAUCCACGCCUUAUAAAUUGGGGAGAAGCCUGGCCUUUUCAGCUCAUGUGUGGUGGCCUGGUAUUCAAUCUGUGAGGUGGAAGCCUGUUGAAAGGUCCCCCUUUUUUCUCUGAGAGCUUUCUUUUAAUUCUGCUCUCUCCACCUUUCAAUGUGUCCACGUACCUAAUUUUUCCUGGUUGUGACACAAGAACCAGAUUUUAGCUGAACUAAAGAGCAAAAAAUCCUGCAUCAAAAGGAGAGCCAAGACUCAAAAAGAGAAACAGUCUUUCGAAUUUUUCAUUGAUUUUAAUUCAGUGACUUCUCUGAACAAUAAAGUUGCAACUUAUUUGAAUAAAAACACUCAAAAUAAAGGGAACACUAAAACUUACAAUUGAAUGUGUCAUUUGCCUGAUUAUAGGUCUUUGGGAAUCUGCAAGGUAACCUUUAUUCCUGCAAGAUAUAGAUCUUAGCUUUUCUUUUUUUAAAUUAUUAUUAUUAUACUUUAAGUUCUAGGGUCCACGUGCACACAACGUGCAGGUUUGUUACAUAUGUACACAUGUGCCAUGUUGGUGUGCUGCACCCAUUAACUCGUCGUUUACAUUGGGUAUAUCUCCUAAUGCUAUCCCUCCCCACUCCCUCCACCCCACGACAGGCCCCGGUGUGUGAUGUUCCCCUUCCUGUGUCCAAGUGUUCUCAUUGUUCAAUUCCCACCUAUGAGUGAGAACAUGCAGUGUUUGGUUUUCUGUCCUUGCGAUAGUUUCCUGAGAAUGAUGGUUUCCAGCUUCAUCCAUGUCCUACAAAGGACACUAACUCAUCCUUUUUUAUGGCUGCAUAGUAUUCCAUGGGGUAUAUGUGCCACAUUUUCUUAAUCCACUCUAUCACUGAUGGACAUUUGGGUUGGUUCCAAGUCUUUGCUAUUGUGAAUAGUGCUGCAAUAAACAUACAUGUGCAUGUGUCCUUAUAGCAGCAUGAUUUAUAAUCCUUUGGGUAUAUACCCAGUAAUGGGAUGGCUGGGUAAAAUGGUAUUUCUAAUUCUAGAUCCUUGAGGAAUCACAAUGUCUUCCACAAUGGUUGAACUAGUUUACAGUCCCACCAACAGUGUAAGAGUGUUCCUAUUUCUCCACACCCUCUCCAGCACCUGUUGUUUCCUGCCUUUUUAAUGAUCACCAUCCUAACUGGUGUGAGAUCGUAUCUCAUUGUGGUUUUGAUUUGCACUUCUCUGAUGGCCAGUGAUGAUGAGCAUUUUUUCAUGUGCCUGUUGGCUGCAUAAAUGUCUUCUUUUGAGAAGUUUCUGUUCAUAUCCUUCGCCAACUUUUUGAUGGGGUUGUUUGAUUUUCUCUUGUAAAUUUGUUUGAGUUCUUUGUAGAUUCUGGAUAUUAGCCCUUUGUCAGAUGAGUAGAUUGCAAAAAUUUUCUCCCAUUCUGUAGGUUGCCUGUUCACUCUGAUGGUGGUUUCUUUUGCUGUGCAGAAGCUCUUUAGUUUAAUUAGAUCCCAUUUGUCAAUUUUGGCUUUUGUUGCCAUUGCUUUUAGUGUUUUAGACAUGAAGUCCUUGCCCAUGCCUAUGUCCUGAAUGGUAUUGCCUAGGUUUUCUUCUAGGGUUUUUAUGGUUUUAGGUCUAACAUGUAAGUCUUUAAUCCAUCUUGAAUUAAUUUUUUUAUAAGGUGUAAGGAAGGGAUCUAGUUUCAGCCAAGACUCAAAAAAAGAAAUAGUCUUUCGAAUUUUUCAUUGAUUUUAAUUCAGCGACUAUUUCCCUGAGCAAUAAAGUUGCAACUUAUGUGAAUAAAAACACUCAAAAUAAAGGGAACACUAAAACUUACAAUUGAAUGCAUCAUUUGCCUGAUUAUACAUCUUUGAGAAUCUGCAAGGUAACCUUUAUUCCUGCAAGGUAUAGAUUUUAGCUUUGGUGAAUCUGACAAUUAUGUGUCUUGGAGUUGCUUUUCUCGAGGAGUAUCUUUGUGGCAUUCUCUGUAUUUCCCGAAUUUGAAUGUUGGCCUGCCUUGCUAGGUUGGGGAAGUUCUCCUGGAUAAUAUCCUGAAGAGUGUUUUCCAACUUGGUUCCAUUCUCCCAGUCACUUUCAGGUACACCAAUCAGACGUAGAUUUGGUCUUUUCACAUAGUCCCAUAUUUCUUGGAGGCUUUGUUCAUUUCUUUUUACUGUUUUUUCUCUAAACUUCUCUUCUUGCUUCAUUUCAUUCAUUUGAUCUUUAGUCACUGAUCGCCUUUCUUCCAGUUGAUCGAAUCAGCUACUGAAGCUUGUGCAUGUGUCAUGUAGUUCUCGUGCCAUGGUUUUCACCUCCAUCAGGUCAUUUAAGGUCUUCUCUACACUGGUUAUUCAGUUAGCCAUUUGUCCAAUCUUUUUCUCAAGGUUUUUAGCUUCUUUGCAAUGGGUUCGAACAUCUUCCUUUAGCUCGGAGAAGUUUGAUCAUCUGAAGCCUUCUUCUCUCAACUCGUCAAAGUCAUUCUCCGUCCAGCUUUGUUCCAUUGCUGGUGAGGAGCUGUGUUCCUCAGUUGGAAAUUUUAGACCAAUAUCCCUGAUGAACAUUGAUGCAAAAAUCCUCAAUAAAAUACUGGCAAAACAAAUCCAGCAGCACAACAAAGAGCUUAUCCACCAUGAUCAAGUGGGCCUCAUCCCUGGGAUGCAAGGCUGGUUCAACAUACACAAAUCAAUAAAUGUAAUCCAGCAUAUAAACAGAACCAAAGACAAAAACCACAUGAUUAUCUCAAUAGAUGCAGAAAAGGCCUUCGACAAAAUCCAACAGCCCUUCAUGCUAAAAACUCUCAAUAAAUUAGGUAUUGAUGGAACGUAUCUCAAAAUAAUAAUAGCUAUCUAUGGCAAACCCACAGCCAAUAUCAUACUGAAUGGGCAAAAACUGGAAGCAUUCCCUUUGAAAACUGGCACAAGACAGGGAUGCCCUCUCUCACCACUGCUAUUCAACAUGGUGUUGGAAAUUCUGGCUUGGGCAAUCAGGCAGGAGAAAGAAAUAAAGGGUAUUCAAUUAGGAAAAGAGGAAGUCAAAUUGUCCCUGUUUGCAGAUGACAUGAUUGUAUAUUUAGAAAAUCCCAUUGUCUCAGCCCAAAAUCUACUUAAGCUGAUAACCAACUUCAGCAAAGUCUCAGGAUACAAAAUCAAUGUACAAAAAUCACAAGCAUUCUUAUACACCAAUAACAGACAAUCAGAGAGCCAAAUCAUGAGUGAACUCCCAUUCACAAUUGCUUCAAAGAGAAUAAAAUACCUAGGAAUCCAACUUACAAGGGACACGAAGGACCUCUUCUAGGAGAACUACAAACCACUGCUCAACGAAGUAAAAGAGGACACAAGCAAACGGAAGAACAUUCCAUCCUCAUGGAUAGGAAGAAUUAAUAUCAUGAAAAUGGCCAUACUGCCCAGGGUAAUUUAUAGAUUCAAUGCCAUCCCCAUCAAGCUACCAAUGACUUUCUUCACAGAAUUGGAAAAAACUACUUUAAAGUUCAUAUGGAACCAAAAAAGAGCCCACAUCGCCCAGUCAAUCCUAAGCCAAAAGAACAAAGCUGGAGGCAUCACACUAUAAAGUACUUUAUUUUAUUCUCUUUGAAGCAAUUGUGAAUGGGAGUUCACUCAUGAUUUGGCUCUCUGAUUGUCUGUUAUUGGUGUAUAAGAAUGCUUGUGAUUUUUGUACAUUGAUAUUGUGUCCUGAGACUUUGCUGAAUUUGCUUAUCAGCCUAAGUAGAUUUUGGGCUGAGAUGAUGGGGUUUUCUAAAUAUACAAUCAUGUCAUCGGCAAAGAGGGACAAUUUGACUUCCUCUUUUCCUAAUAAAUAUUCCAAAUAAAUAAAAUUCCUUUUAUUUAUUUGUCCUGCCUUAUUGCCCAAGCCAGGACUUCCAACACUACGUUGAAUAGGAGUGGUGAGAGAGGGCAUCCCUGUCUUGUGCCACUUUUCAAAGGAAAUGCUUCCAGUUUUUGCCCAUUCAGUAUGAUAUUGACUGUGGGUUUGUCAUAAAUAGCUAUUAUUAUUUUGAGAUACAUUCCAUCAAUACCUAAUUUAUUGAGAGUUUUUAGCAUGAAGGGCUAUUGAAUUUUGUCAAAGGCCUUUUCUGCAUCUAUUGAGAUAAUCAUGUGGUUUUUGCCUUUGGUUCUGUUUAUAUGCUGGAAUAUGUUUAUUGAUUUGUGUAUGUUGAACCAGCCUUGCAUCCCAGGGGUGAAGCCCACUUGAUCAUGGUGGAUAAGCUCUUUGAUAUGCUGCUGGAUUCGGUUUGCCAGUAAUUUACUGAGGAUUUCUGCAUCGAUGUUCAUCAGGGAUAUUGGUCUAAAAUUCUCUUUUUUUGUUGUGUCUCUGCCAAGCUUUGGUAUCAGGAUGAUGCUGGCCUCAUAAAGUGAGUUAGGGAGGAUUCCCUCUUUUUCUAUUGACUGGAAUAGUUUUAGAAGGAAUGGUACCAGCUCAUCCUUGUACCUCUGGUAGAAUUCAGCUGUGAAUCCAUCUGGUGCUGGGCUUUUUUUGGUUGGUAGGCUAUUGAUUAUUGCCUCAAUUUCAGAGCCUGUUAUAGGUCCAUUCAGGGAUUCAACUUCUUCCUGGUUUAGUCUUUGGAGGGUGUAUGUGUCCAGGAAUUUAUCCAUUUCUUCUAGAUUUUCUAGUUUAUUUGCGUAGAGGUGUCUAGUAUUUAGGUAUUUUAUAGUAUUCUCUGAAGGUAGUUUGUAUUUCUGUGGGAUUGGUGGUGAUGUCCCCUUUAUCAUUUUUUAUUGUGUCUAUUUGAUUCUUCUCUCUUUUCUUCUUUAUUAGUCUUGCUAGUGGUCUGUCAAUUUUGUUGAUCUUUUCAAAAAACCAGCUCCUAGAUUCAUUGAUUUUUUUGAAGGGUGUUGUGUCUCUAUCUCCUUCAAUGCUGCUCUGAUCUUAGUUAUUUCUUGUCUUCUGCUAGCUUUUGAAUGUGUUUGCUCUUGCUUCUCUAGUUCUUUUAAUUGUGAUGUUAGGGUGUCAAUUUUAGAUCUUUCCUGCUUUCUCUUGUGAGCAUUUAGUGCUAUAAAUUUCCCUCUACACACUGCUUUGAAUGUGUCCCAGAGAUUCUGGUAUGUUGUGUCUUUGUUCUCAUUGGUUUCAAAGAACAUCUUUAUUUCUGCCUUCAUUUUGUUAUGUACCCAGUAGUCAUUCAGGAGCAGGUUGUUCAGUUUACAUGUAGUUGAGCUGUUUUGAGUGAGUUUCUUAAUCCUGAGUUCUAAUUUGAUUGCACUGUGGUCUGAGAGACUGUUAUAAUUUCUGUUCUUUUACAUUUGCUGAGGAGUGCUUUACUUCCAACUACGUGGUCAAUUUUGGAAUAAGUGUGGUGUGGUGCUGAGAAGAAUGUGCAUUCUGUUGAUUUGGGGUGGAGAGUUCUGUAGAUGUCUAUUGGGUCUUCUUGGUGCAGAGCUGAUUUCAAUUCGUGGAUAUCCUUGUCAACUUUCUGUCUUGUUGACCUGUCUAAUGUUGACAGUGGGGUGUUAACGUCUCCCAUUAUUAUUGUUUGGGAGUCUAAGUCUCUUUGUAGGUCUCUAAGGACUUGCUUUAUGAAUCUGGGUGGUCCUGUAUUGGGUGCAUAUAUAUUUAAGAUAGUUAGCUCUUCUUGUUGAAUUGAUCCCUUUACCAUUAUGCAAUGGCCUUCUUUGUCUCUUUUGAUCUUUGUCGGUUUAAAGUCUGUUGUAUCAGAGACUAGGAUUGCAACCCCUGCCUUUUUUUGUUUUCCAUUUGCUUGGUAGAUCUUCCUCCAUCCCUUUAUUUUGAACCUAUGUGUGUCUCUGCAUGUGAGAUGGGUCUCCUGAAUACAGCACACUGAUGGGUCUUGACUCUUUAUCCAAUUUGCCAGUCUGUGUCUUUUAAUUGGAGCAUUUAGCCCAUUUACAUUUAAGGUUAAUAUUGUUAUGUGUGGAUUUGAUCCUGUCACUAUGAUGUUAGCUGGUUAUUUUGCUCAUUAGUUGAUGUGAUUUCUUCCUAGCAUCGAUGGUCUUUACAAUUUGGCAUGUUUUUGCAGUGUCUGGUACUGGUUGUUCCUUUCCAUGUUUAGUGCUUCCUUCAGGAGCUCUUUUCGGGCAGGCCUGGUUCUGACAAAAUCUCUCAGCACUUGCUUGUCUGUAAAGGAUUUUAUUUCUCCUUCACUUAUGAAGCUUAGUUUGGCUGGAUAUGAAAUUCUGGGUUGAAAAUUCCUUUCUUUAAGAAUGUUGAAUAUUGGCCCCCACUCUCUUCUGGCUUGUAUUGUUUCUGCUGAGAGAUCCGCUGUUAGUCUGAUGGGCUUCCCUUUGUGGGUAACUUGACCUUUCUUUGUCUUGCUGCCCUUAACAUUUUUUCCUUCAUUUCAACCUUGGUGAAUCUGACAAUUAUGUGUCUUAGGGUUGCUCUUCUUGAGGAGUAUCUUUGCGGUGUUCUCUGUAUUUCCUGAAUUUGAUUGUUGGUCUGCCUUGCUAGGUGUGGGAAUUUCUCCUGGAUAAUAUUCUGCAGAGUGUUUCCCAACUUGGUUCCAUUCUCCCCGUCACUUUCAGGUACACCAGUCAGACAUAGAUUUGGUCUCUUCACAUAGUCCCAUAUUUCUUGGAGUCCUUGUUCAUUUCUUUUUACUCUUUUUUCUCUAAACUUCUCUUCCUGCUUCAUUUCAUUCAUUUGAUCUUCAAUCACUGAUCCCCUUUCUUCCAGUUGAUUGAAUCAGCUACUGAAGCUUGCACAUUCGUCACUUAGUUUCUUUGCCAUGGUUUUUAGCUCCAUCAGGUCAUUUAAGGAUUUCUCUACACUGGUUAUUCUAGUUUGCCAUUCAUCUAAUCUUUUUUCAAGGUUUUUAAGCUUCUUUGCGAUGGGUUCAAAAUUCCUCCUUUAGCUCGGAGAAAUUUGAUCAUCUGAAGCCUUCUUCUCUCAACUUGUCAAAGUCAUUCUCCGUCCAGCUUUGUUCCAUUGCUGGCGAGGAGCUGUGUUCCUUUGGAGGGGGGAGAGGCGCUCUGAUUUUUAGAAUUUUCAGCUUUUCUGUUCUGUUUUGUCCCCAUCUCUGUGGUUUUAUCUACCUUUGGUCUUUGAUGAUGGUGACGUAUAGAUGGGGUUUUGGUGUGGAUGUCCUUUCUGUUUGUUAGUUUUCUUUCUAACAGUCAGGACCCUCAGCUGCAGGUCUGUUGGAGUUUGCUGGAGGUCCACUCCAGACCCUCUUUGCCUGGGUAUCACCAGCAGAGGCUGCAGAACAGCGAAUAUUGCUGAACAGCAAAUGUUGCUGCCUGAUCAUUCCUCUGGAAGCUUUGUCUCAGAGGGGUACCCAGCUGUGUGAGGUGCCAGUCUGCUCCUACUCGGGGGUGCCUCCCAGUUAGGCUACUCAUGGGUCAGGGACCCACUUGAGGAGGCAGUCUAUCUGUUCUCAGAUCUCAAACUCCAUGCUGGAACAACCACUACUCCUCUUCAAACAGGGACAUUUAAUUCUGCAGAGGUUUCUGCUGCCUCCUGUUUGGCUAUGCCCCGCCCCCAGAGGUGGAGUCUACAGAUGCAGGCAGGCCUCCUUGAGCUGCAGUGGUCUCCACCCAGUUUGAGCUUCCCAGUCACUUUGUUUACCUACUCAAGCCUAAGCAAUGGUGGGCGCCCCUCCCCCAGCCUCGCUGCCACCUUGCAGUUUGAUCUCAGACUGCUGUGCUAGUAAUUAGCAAGGCUCUGUGGGGGUGGGACCCUCCAAGCCAUGCGUGGGAUAUAAUCUCCUGGUGUGCCGUUUGCUAAGACCAUUGGAAAAGCACAGUAUUAGGGUGGGAGUGACCCGAUUUUCCAGGUGCCAUCUGUCACAGCUUCCCUUGGGUAGGAAAGGAAAUUCCCUGACCCCUUGUGCUUCCCGGGUGAGGCGAUGCCUCGCCCUGCUUUGGCUCACGUUUGCUGGGCUGCACCCACUGCUCUGCACCCACUGUGCUGCACCCACUGUCUGACAAGCCCCAGUGAGAUAAACCCAGUACCUCAGUUGGAAAUGCAGAAAUCACCUGUCUUCUGCAUCACUCAUGCUGGGAGCUGUAGACUGGAGCUGUUCCUAUUUGGCCAACUUGGAACCGCCCCUACCGUGAUAAUUUAUAACUAGACCAGUCUUCUCAGGGAUUUGAGGAUGAAUGGAAAGUCUGAGAUGCAAGAAGAAAUGGUGAUCAAAUAUAUAAUCAAAUAUAAGUAAACACUGACAAUAUAAAAUAACAAUAAUUAUAAUGCUUAAUUGGUGGAAAAAAUCAAAAUAAGAUAGAACCAAAAUACUAUGCAGCUAAAAUAUCUAAAUUCAGGGAGUGGCAUUAAUUAGAUUUAAACAUUCUAAUGUCUUUAUAGUGUUUGAGAGAAGGGUAAAAAUAUUUAUGAAAUUUAAAGCUUGUUAAGUAUUCCUGAAAAAAAAAAAAAACAAAAGAAUAGACUAGAUGUUCCAUUUCCUGAACACCUCUUGAAUUUUUCUCAAGUAUCAUGAGAACUUAAGUUGUAUUAUCCAAGUCCUUGCAGUUAGGUCAUAAAGGGAAGCAAAAGUUCUCACAAUAUAAAAUAUUCAUUAAUGAACUGGCUAAUAAUGAAAUUAGUUCUCAUAUAAGCAUACUUCCCCUUUUCUCUAUAUCCAUGAUUGUAAACAUUUGAAUGCAAAGUAAAUUAAGUAAUAAGUAAAGCUGCAAAUCUUGUAAGAGAGUCAAGAUAUCAAAAAUUCAGUGAAAGUAAAAUUAGAGAAAUACUUAAAUUGCACUUAAAGCUUUUGAAAAAGGAGUCUCUGGCAGAGUCAGUUCAGUUAACAGCUGAAGAAGAGUGAAUUAGUCGAGAUGAUAGCAUGACUAGAUGACUCAAAGGAGAAUGAUUUUGAAACAUAAAGAUUAAGAGAGCCCUUGAGAAAACUGAUGAAUCUUUAAUUGUCUCUCUAACUGUAUUAAUUAUGGGAAAAGCUAAGGUGCUGAAAAAGUGACACCCAAAUACAGUGAUUUAAAGAUGAAAGAAGUUUAUAUCUCAUGUAACCAUCUAGCUCUUUGAGGUCAAUCAUGGGUCCACAUUCCCUAUAUCUCUAAUUUCUCAUAGGGAGAGAUGCUCAUUUGCAUAGUCAAAGCUGGAUCAUAUGGCAUAUUCAUGUUUUAGUACAAAAAAAGGGAAAAGAGAGAAAGCCCAGGGCAAGCAAUUUCCUUUUGAACAAGUAAGAUAGAAGGUGUGUACAUAUCACAUCCCCCCACAUUCCACUGGAGAGAUAUAAAUCAUGUGGCCAUACCCAACUGCCAGUAAAUCUGGGAAAUGUCUCUAGCUGGAUGACAAAGGGCCUAAGAAUAAGGGGAGAAUGGAUUUUGGGGGAAAACUGAUAAUCUGUUUCAUAAACAUUUAUGCAAAAAAUUAUUGUGUGAUCAUAGUCUGAAAAAACAUGAAGGAUGAUGUACAUAUAAUUAGGUCUGAUAAAUUAUGCCUACCCAAAUAAAUACCUGAUUCAUUCUUUAACUUAAAAGAGAUCACAUAUCAAUACUCACAUUUUAUAAAUUCAGAUAAAAUGAAUUUAUUUUUAAAAAUGAAUAAAACACAGUGAGAGUUUACUAGGUUAUGAGGUGCUUAAUAGCCUGUUUUAUAUUUUCUAGUAGGAUGAUUAGAAAAAUUCUUAUUUCUCCUUCAUAUCUGUAGUUGGUAUGAUUCUCCAUCCACAGUCUCUGUGUUCAAGAAUUUUAACCAACCUAAUUUUUGUCUUUCUAUUUCUGUUUUUCACCAUCAUGUAUUUUGGUCUGAGAUAUAGCAAUUUAAUUUCAAUUCAUGGUUCCUCUUUUUACUCUGGUUGCACCUAAGUUCUGGGGCUUUACAUAGCAUCCAGGAAUUAUUAAGGGAAGCUAGUCCUCAGUAUUAUCUGUCUAACCUAGCAUUUGCUGAGAUAGUCAUCUGUCAUUUGGGCCUAAUUCAUUCAGAGAAUACUUAAAACACCGACAUAUGCCAGGUACUGAAAAUAGUGUUGGUCAAGAGAAACACUUUAGUCCCUUUUCUUAUGAAAGAUAGUGUUUAGUAAAUUUUGGUGCAUUGCAAAAAAUUCUGGACCAAGGGCAAAGCCAAGCAUACACACGUGUAGAGAAAGGGGUCAUUUAAAAAGUUUGUCCCAAAAUGAGGAGAAGAAAGUUAAUGAUCAAAUGAAAAUUUGUGGAUUAUUUAUGAUUUUCCAUUUUCAAUGACUUUUCCAUUCCACCAUAACCUAUGAAAAUUGAGAAUUGGUGAUGUUUAGAAGUCAGGAAAGACUUAGAGAAGAUAAGGAUGAGUGAGAAAGUGUGACUUCCCUUUCUCCUGGGUAAUUCCUCUUUUAGUGUUAGGGUGCCUGGAGAAGGUCUUCUGUAAACAUUCAAACUAAUCCAGUAGUAUUUAACCAACCUCUUUCUUACCACAUAACCUUCACUUCCUGGUUGCUGUGGAUAACAAGGGGAGUAUGAGACACAGUUCUGAAAGUUGGUUAAAGUCUCUAUACCAAGAAAAAUUAUAGCCAGGACAGGCAGGAAACAGAACUACACUAAUAAAAAAGCACUGUGGCAGAAAUAAAGCCUAUUUUGGAUUGCAGAGAGGAAGGGGAGAUGAUUACCAGAUGGGAGAAUGGUGUAGUCAAUUAAUUGCAAAGGUGUGGCAAAAAACAUGGUGGACAGAGGGUCUAGGUGGAGGGAGGACAGGCUUGACUGGAGCUAAGGUUUGGGUAGAAAGUGUGAUUCUGUGGCCAUGCUCUCUCUUCAUCUGCUCAUGCUGUGUAGCAUUGCAAGCCUACUCCCAUGCCCCCAGUUUAAUUGCAUUACUCUUCACUAUAGCUUAGGGAGUGGGAGCACUGGCUGUGUAGCCAGACAGACCUGAGUUUGUCUUACUCAGUGUCUAACCACUGCUUACUAGUGUCUAACCUCAGGGAAGUUACUUAACCUCUCUGAACCUGAUUUUCCUUACUGCGUUGCAUGUUUCUGACAGUUUAAUGAGUUACCACAUGCAGUGCUCAGCAAGAGUUUUCAAAGCCCUCAAUAAGAGCAGUACCAUAAUUACGGCCUACCAAUGAGGGGUUGAGUGCUGGGACCAGGAUGGUAGCAUGAGGCAUAAAAAAAUAAGUGUUUUCGUUUCAGACAGUCAUGAGUGUUCACAUUCCAGCUGCAUCACUUCCCUUCUAAUUCCCACUCUGCAGGGAUUAAAUUAGAUCAUGAAUAUACAGUAUUCCACACAGGGCUGGAGUACCAGUGAGUGCUUUUAGAAAAUGUUUGUUUCCUUCCUCAUCACUUACCCACACUCGUUUAUUUCUUUAUUCCUGAGCGUACAUCUAGUCUUCUAGUUUUGUGUUUGUGCAUGGAAUAGGGCAAUGGACACUUACUAGGAUGUCUGGAUAGUUCUGAUGUAACCUGUUGGCACAGCUUUGUUAUGAUCUUCCCUUUCUGAAAAUGUCCUAUGUUUGGACAAUAAAUUACCCUAGUGCUGCUUAGGGCCUUUUACUCUCUAGUCUAGUGGGUCUGGUGUGAUCCUAGGCUUCCUUUUCUGAGGAGGAAAUCACCUGGGGGCUUUGGGCUAGAGCAUGUCCUUGCAGCGUUACUGCUGAGUUGACAGGCAUCCCCUAGGCAACCCCCCGGGUGUAUGUCUUCUUCAUCAUCUGGGGGUCCCCAGGAUUAACUGUCCCACGUUCUGCUUUCGGCCACCACCCAUUCUUUCCCCUGGGGUUUCUCUCCUUUGCCUGGAGCUCUUGCUGGAACAAGAUACGAGGCGUGAUAGAGUUUCCCCCACCCCCUUCUUUCCUACUCGUUUGAAUUGUACAAAACAAUACACUCUUUUUCUGGUUGUGUAGGUUUCUAAGAUAUGUCUAGGAAAAGGAAGACAGGGCAACAAAGUAAUACACAAGGAAAAGUUCCAACUCUUUAUGACAUUAAAAGUUAUCCUAACCUUCGUAGGCAUUUGAAUAGAACUAGAGUUGGUCUUUCUUGGCCCUCUUCACUGAUUCGUCUCUUCCAGUGAACUUCUGAAAUCCACCUUUACCUGAUUGUCUUUUCCCUCUAUUUUUAUUCUUGGGACUUUAUGCAAUGGUUUCCCUCACUAUUUUCUUUAGCUUAUUUUUUUUGGGGGGGCGGGUGGACUUAGGUACUCAAUAAAUAUUCUUUUCUAGAGUGGUGGUAAGCAAUAGAAAUGAAUUGAAAUGGAACAAAGUUGUGACUGAGAAUUUUAAGGAAAUGUUCAUUGCUACCAGAAAGAAACCCUGGUCCAGCCAGAAUGAAACUCCAGAUAAUAAUAUAACAAGUGUAAAUGCUUGUUAAAAGCUGUAUGCCAGGUACUUUACAUGCAUUAUCUCAUCCUCUCACAGCAACCCUGUGAAUUGAGGUACUAGUUACAGUCAUUACACUCUUUCCCACAUUUAUUAAUAAGAAAAUUAAGGCUUAAAAAAGUUAGAUAAUUUGCCCAGUUACUUCCAUAAUUCUUCCAUUAUGGCUGAAAAGCUUGAGGCAAGCUGGGAUUCAGAUUCAGCCAGCCUGUCUCCAAAGCUCUUGCUCUUAACCAUUACAUUAGACUGUCUCCCCAGACUGCAGGAACCAGAGACUCCACCCAGAGGUGUAGCCCUGCUUGAACUGGAGAAAGCCUUGUCAAGGAUGGGCCUUUGUCUGGGGUAAGAGUGGGCCCUAUAUUACUGAAAAGAGGCAUUACAAUUUGAUGAUUCAUUUCUACAUGUCUCACCAUGGUCUUGCUUUUACCCCACUUCCUCUGAUAGCUUUUUGUACCAGUUUUAACGAUCAUAUUUUCAUUUCACCUUUAAUAGCUAUUAAAAAGACACCAUUAUGGUGACUAAUCAGAAGGAUCACCCUCCUUCCAACCUUAGUGGGCACUCAUUUUUCAUUGUAGUUCAUUCUUGCCAAAGUAUGUACUGUGACAGAGGAGAGACCAUAUCACAAAGGUAUUCAUAUGUUAGGAUGUACUUUGCUUGAUGGAAGAGGCUGCUGCACCUAUGAGGGCCCAGGGAAGGAAAUUUGUAUGCAUUUAACCUAAAACCUCUAAAUCUUGCUAAUUUUAAACCAGUCCUUCCUCUGAGGUCAGUCUUGGGGAAAUGCUCUUGAAUACUCCCAACCUUUGGCCUUCCAGUAUCAAGAUCUCAAUUGCCUGAUUGUAUCGUGUGUGGUUAUUUUUCUUUAUUGAUGCAACUAACUUUCCCUGAUUAAGGUUGGGACUUUUUCCCUUUGUCAUUUCAGACCGUUUUGGUGAAGUUUUCAUAUCUUGUCUUUUGCCUCAAAUGUUUCCUUUACUUAGUCAGGCUUUAUUUUAGGUUUCAUUUAGUACUCCCUACCCACCCACCCAUGGGAGAGUACCCAUUAUAGGAGACCAAGGUUUUCAUUCUGAUCUGUAGUCAAAAUAAUAAGAAGUAAGACAAGGACCACACACUGGUGAUCUAUUGGAGGGAGAAAAUAUACCUCCUUGAUGAGUUCUUUUAGUUGGAGUAAAUCCAGGAUUAUAAUGCUACUGUAGCUUUGGAGAUGACUGACUAUAAGAAUAGCUAAUAUUUAUUGAACACUUAUUGUAUGCUAUGCCAUGCACAUUGCCUGCUUUGCCUCACUUAACCCUUACAUAAAGCCUUGACAAGAAAACUUCCAACUUUAAGAGGAGAAAAAUCAAGGUUUAGAGAAAUUAAGUGACUUGCUCAAGGGUCAUACAACUAGUAAAUAGUGGCCCUAGGAUUAGGAUUCAGCAACCUUAACCUCUAUGCUACUGUGUAAAGAAAAAUAUCACAUAAAAUGAGUUAGCCAAGUGACCAAGGCCAAGUUGCAUAACCUCUCUGUGCUUUAGUUUCCUUGUCUAUAAAAUGAGUAAAAGAAAAUGACUCUUGGAUAAUUAUUGUGGUGCUUAUAUGAGGAGCUGUGCAAAACUGAGCUCUUCAUUUGCAAACUGCCUCUCCCUAUCUGCUCCUCUUUGGUCUUCCCCUUAAUCUCAGUCAAUGGCACCACCACACAGUUACUCAGCCCAAUGAUGUACAAGUUAUCGUUGAUGCCUUAAUUUCCAUUACUUACCGUAUCUAAUCCAGUAAGUCUUAUUGCUCUGCCUCCAAAGUAUAUCCCAGAUCUGAUAAUUCGUCACCCUCUUUUGCCAUGGCCUAGAAGUCAAGGCACUUUACAUCUUAUCUGGGCCACUUUACAUCUUAUCUGAGAGUCCUUUAACUCAUCUCUCUGCUUUAACUCCUAUUCCAUUGUGGUCUGUUUUGCCACGCAAAAGCCAACUGGCUUUUAAAAACAUGAAUCUGAAAUCACUCUCCUAAUUGAAACCUUCCAAUGGCUUUCCGUAAAAUUCAUGAUCCAAAGGCUCCAUUCAGUCUAGCCCCUGCCUACUUGUUAAUGCUAUGGCCUAUUACUUAGUUGUCCUCACACCUGCUUUACUCUGCUGUAGCCACUUUCUUUUCUUCAGGCAUGCCAAAGUUGUUUUUGUCUUAGGCUUUCAGACUUACCAAUACCAGCCCUACUGCCUAGAAUGUUCUUCCUUCCCCUAGCUCUUUCCCUGACUGACCCAUGUGAAGGCUUUGCUCCACUAUCAUCUCCACAGAGAGGCCUUUGAUGGCCCAAUCAAAGUGAUGCCCCUUCUUGUCCCUGUCUAUUUCAUUACUCUGUGGGUUUUGGGUUUGUUUAUUUUAUUUUUUUUGGUGAGUGUGAGUAUGUGGGUCACAGCAUUUAACCACUUUUUAAUUGUCUUCGUCAGUUCAGGCAGCUAUAACAGAAUCCUUCUUGCUGUAUCCUCACAUGGCAGAGGGAUCAUCUUUCUUGUGUCUUUUCUAGUAAGGGCACUAAGUUCAUCAUGGCACCCCCACCCUCAUGACCUAAUUACAUACCAAAGCCUCCAAAUACCAUCACAUUGGGGAUUAAGGCUUCCACAUAUGAAUUUUUGGAGAACAUAAAUAUUCAGUCCAUAACACUAAGAUUAUUCAUUUUUCUGUGCAUACAGUUAUUGUCUAUUUUCUCCAACAGGAAUAUAAACUCUAAGAGAGUAGGCACUGUAUUUGCUCUUUAGGAGGAACUGAAUAAAUAGUUUUUAGUAAUGAAAAAAUGUGCAAAUGAGCAAAGUAAGCAAAAUUCAAAGCUUGUGUGCAGUACCUACCUAUGUUUAAAACAGGUUAAUUUCCUUUAUCUUUUAACUGCUCCUUGAGUUUUUGCUAAGAGAAAUAUUCUGAGCCCUGAGAUCCAAUUCAGUUUUAUCUGGGGGCUCAGAGUAGCAGAAGAAAUUUUGCUUUUUUUUAAAAAAAACUUUAUUUUCAUCAAGAGAACGAUAUUUGAAGGUUGCUGAGUUUCUACUGCAAAGAAACCACUUUGAAUAAAAUCCCUUUGUUUUGGGAAGGUGAAUAGAUUUUUUUUUUAGUCUUUACAAUUUUUUUUUAUUUUAAUAGGUUUUUGGGGAACAGGUUUUGUUUGGUUACAUGGAUAAGUUCUGUAGUGGCAAUUUCUGAGACUUUGGUGCACCCAUCACCCGAGCAGUGUACGCUGUACCCAAUGUUUAGUCUUUUAUCCCUCAGCCCCUCCCACCAUUUCCCUUGAGUCCUCAAAGUCCAUUGUAUCAUUCUUAUGCCAUUGCAUCCUCAAAGCUUAGCUCCCACUUAUGAGCAAGAACAUACAAUGUUUGGUUUUCCAUUCCUGGGUUAGUUCACUUAUAAUAAUGGCCUCUAAUUUCAUCCAGAUUGCUGCAAAUGCCAUUAUUUCAUUCAUUUUUAUGGCUGAGUAGUAUUGCAUGGUGUGUGUGUGUGUGUGUGUGUGUGUGUAUCACAAUUUCUUUAUCCACUUGUUGAUUGAUGGGCAUUUGAGCUGGUUCCAUAUUUUUGCAGUUGUGAAUUGUGCUGCUAUAAACAUGUGUGUCCAAGUGUCUUUUUCAUAUAAUGACUUCUUUUCCUGUGGGGAGAUACCCAGUAGUGAGAUUGUUGGAUCAAAUGGUAGUUCUACUUUUAGUUCUUUACGGAAUCUCUACUAGUUUACAUUCCCACCAGCAGUGUAAAAGUGUCCCCUUUUCACUACAUUCAAGCCAACAAAACAGAUGAUCUUUAAAGGUAAAUAGUCACUAAUUUCCAGGGAAAACCAGGUGUUGUGAAAUGGUCUACAAGCAAGUAUUUCUUACUAGUCUCUUGAGGAUUAUAUUUAAGUCAAUAAAAACCUCGAGAUAACCACCCUUAUGCAGUGAUAAAGAAUUUAACCAAUGGAAAAGUGUUCAAAAACUCCUGUGUUAGCUAGCAGGCUUCUGAAUGUACUGCUGUGGUCCACAGAGAAGGCUAGAGAAGGUAGCAAGGAGAUGCUGUAUCAGCUACUACAGCCUUAAAACAAAGUAGGUGUCUCUUUGGACUUUAAAAUUGUUCCUAUGAAGCUUAUUUUAUUUUUGUUUAAUCAAAUAAACAAGACAGUUUUUCCAUGAAAAAAAAAGAAUUUGAAUAUAAUACAAUUGGCAAUUGGCUCUCAUCCUCUGCCCAACCCUAUUCCCAAGGGAAAUGAUGCAGCUAAAGUUCUUUUGGUGGGAGUGGGAAGGUGUGAGGAGGUUAGAAAGGGACUAAUUUGUGGUUACUUGGGACUUUCUCAGUUUAGUAUGUAAUCUAUUACAUAUAUUUUAUGUUUCUUAUGGCUUACAUAAGUUGUUAGUAUUAACCAAUCUCCUAUACAAGUAAUAAAAGAAAAUGAAUACACUUUUCUGUCUUUUAUUUUUCUAAGCAGUAACUAAGAGAUCAAUGAAAAAAAAAUUUAUAUAUAUUUGCUAAGUUGGCAAUAACCAAAUGCCACAUUUUACACAUUAUAGAGGAGCUUCGAUGUAAUGUAAGGGUUAGAAGUAGGGAAUUUUUUUUUUUUAAAUUUUAGGGGAAUUUUGUUCCUCAUAUCUGGGGCAGGGAUGGAAGACUGGGUCAUAGUAACUGAAGAGAGAGUGUGAAAGGAGAGGGGGCUUCUGAGUAUAAGGAGUCUUGGGAAUUUUUUCAUUGAUGGGCACUGAGUUGGCUUUCCCACUGCCAUCUGAAAGCUGUGAGGAAGUGGGCGGUGGCCCUUGAAAUGGUGUACUGAGCUCUUGGGUGCUGAGACUAGUCAUUUCUAGUACCCGUGGAGGGGACCUAACCCACAGCACAUAGGAACAAGCAAAUAGAGAGGUCAGUCUGGAAUAUCAAAGUGAUUAGAUCAUGGGAGGGACCUGAAGAUUCAGGAAGAACAACAGUUCAGAGAGAGAACAGCUGACAGAGGUGACAAGCAUCAGCCUGGACCAAUUUGUGGAGCAUAUGAGUGCUCCCUGGUAUUCCUAGAAAUACCUGGGGAACCACACUGAGAGGUGUGACGGCAUCAUCCUACCAUGUGUGUUAGGGUCUAUCUAGCCCAGCACUGUCCAAUACAAAUAUCACAAGGUAAUUCAAAAAUUUCAGCUGGGAAUGGUGGUUCACGCCUAUAAUCCCAACACUUUGGCAGGCUGAGGCGGGAGGAUUGCUUGAGGUCAGGAGUUCAAGAUCAGCCUGGGCAACAUAGGGAGACCCUGUCCCUACAAAGAAUAAAAAAAAUUAGCUGUACAUGGUGGCACGUUCCUGUGUCCCAGCUACUCAGGAGGCUGAGGUGGGAGGACGCUUAAGCCCAGGAGUUCAAGGCUGCAGUGAGUCGUGAUUAUGCCACUCCAGCCUGGGCAACAGAGUGAGACCUUGUCUCAGAAAAUUUUGUUUUGUAGCAGUCAUAUCAAAAAAAUUGAAAGAAACAGAUAAAAUUAAUUGUAAUAGUGUUUUAUUUACCAUAAUAGAUCCAAAAUAUUAUCAUUUAGAUAUGUGGCACUAGCCUAGUCAUUUGCUGGUAAAGCAGCUCUCUGAAAAAAUUUAUAAUGUUUACCAAUUUCCAUGGUAUAAAUACUCUCAUCAUGGUCAAUUUUAAGCUACAAUAGUGAUAACUAACAAUUAUUGAAUGCUAAUAUGUAUCAGGCACGGUAGAAGGUGUGUGCCUUCUACCUAUAUUUAUUUAUCUAUCAUUUGUGGAUGACUAAAUGAAAGAUAGGAGCUAAAUAACUUGCUCAAUUAGAAAUAGUAAUGCUUUUACUUGCAUACAGAUCUGACUUUUGCCCAGAGUGUCAAAAAUAAAAUCAAGGUAGGAUCAGAGAACAGUGGGGAGCUGAAGGGGCAGAAGGAAAGAAGGAACUCUGAAUAAAACUUCACCCCACAAUCCAGUCUAUUCUGUUCAUGUGUUGAGCACAGCUAUGGAUUAGUGCUGGAAUAAGCAGGGGAAUAUGAAGAUGAAUGGGUCUUGGAGUUUCUCCACCCAGGGGAGACAAGCACAUACAUGCAUAACCCUGACACAGGGCAGACUAUGGUCUGUGCUAAGAGAAGAGUGUAAUUAUUCUUCCCCAAACUGAGUCCGGAGCAGACGGGAGGUGGUGUGGUAAGAAACAGGGUUGAACACUGGGGAGAGGGAUUUUUGGGACCUGGAGCUUGGGCAAUUCCUAUAAGGACAUCCUUUGGGACUUCUGGGUCAGUGAUGAAGCAGAAAGUUGAGAUCUCUUCCAAAUAUAACCAGGGCGAAUUUGAGCCAACAUAGGAAGAAUAAGGGUAAGAACAGCAGAAAACACCAGGGAACAUGGCAGACAGUAGGAAGGAAAGGUCUACAGUAAUUCCCUGAGCCAAUUUGUAGAAAGCUGAAGAGGUUUUUGUUUGUUUGUUUGUUUUUCAUGUGUGUGUUUGUGUAUGUGUGAGAUUUGCAGAAAGGACAUACCCCAAAGACUUCUGAGCACAGCUUAAGGAGGCAGAAAGGGGUGAACAAACUGUAUACAGUGGUAAUGAGUGUGGAGAUAGGGAAUACUACCUCCAAAAAGAGAGAGAGAGAAAAUCAUGGCUCAUUGCUAUACUUCUCUCCAUCCACCCUCAGUCUCUGAUCAUAAGGAACCAUUCAUUUGGUUCUUUAUGUGGCAGGGCACUAUUUUGAAAUUAAUAAUUUAUUUUUUUCCCUGGCUAUUUCCUUUUAUUUCCUGGCCCCAUUUAGUUAGCUUGCCUAUGUUCAUUACCUUUGGGGGAAGGAAUGUGGUGGCACAAAGCAGAAAAAAAGAUUCUCUUGACUUUAGAGUUUCAAAAGCUCUGUCCCAAAGGGGAGCAGAAAAUGUUCGAUGAGUAAGUGGAAAGCUUUCUGGCCCCCUGAUGGUGUAAAGAUCCCUGGGCUGGAGAAAGAAGGGAAUUAAGGGGAUGAAUUGGGUGCAUAGAUGAGGGUAGAUGCCCAUGUAAGGGGAUUCCUACCCUGCUGAUGCCUAGGGUGGGGAUGGGGCUCAGCCAAAACUCAUGUAUGUUUUAAGAUGUAAGAUGUUGUUAUGGAAGGAAGUUUCUAGUGUCUUGUCAGGGAUCUGCGCUUAGUCUUCUGAGUCUUUAUGAACUCACUCUUUCUGUUAAUAAUUUAACUAAGUGCUUUUCAAAUUUCAUGUGGAUGCAAAUCUUUUUAAAAUCUGGAUUUUGAUUUGAUAGGUCUGGGGUGGGGCCUGGGAUUCUGCUUUUCUAACAAGCUCCUGAGUGACGUGGAUGCAGCCAUUUGUGGACACAGACCACAGACCACACUUAUCGCAAUUAUUGUGCACCUUCUAUUUGUAAGACAGUGCUAAUGGGUGUAAACAUUGUCCCAUGUAAACCCUAUAGCAACCCCAAGAGGUAAAUCCCAUUGAGGAUUUGAGGCAAUUUUAAAACUAGAGCUUACUGGGGUUCAGUGUCUCAUGCUAUGAUUGGGAUAAAGAUGUUGAUGAUUGCUGAUUGCACCUGAAGAAAGCUUUAAGAGAUGUUUAAUGCAACAUAUGUCAGUGAAACAAUAAACACUAAAAAGGCUUACAGGUUUUUUGUUUGUUUGUUUUGCAACACCAUAACAUUUGCAUAGGCCUACUCUGUCUAGACAUGCUGCUUAGUGUAUUACGUAGACUAUUUUAUUCUAGCUCCAAAAUAGGAAAGACAUUUAAGAAUAUUCUUAUAAGGACAUCGAAGGUAACAGGAUAAAAUUCUUGUUAUCAUAGAGAAUGAUAGGUAAAAUUCUUGUUACCACAGAGGAUAAAAUUCAUGUUAUCACAGAAGAAGUUAGAGAAACUUCAAGAAGCAAUGCUCUUUUGGUACAAUUUUAUAAUUUCCAGCCAUCUUAGUCUGCUUGGGCUGCCAUAAGACACCCAUAAUGUGGGUGCUUAAACAACAAUAAUUUAUUUUCUCACAGUUCUGGAGGCUGGAACUCUGGAUCAGUGUGCCAACAUGGUUGGGUUCUGGUGAGGGUUCUUUUCUUGGCUUGCAGACGGCCACCUUCUUGCUGUGUCCUCACUUGGUGGAGAGAGAGAUGGCUCAAGGUCUCUGGUGUCUUUUCUUCUAAAGGCCCUAAAUUCCAUCAGACCAGGGCCCUGCCCUCAUGACUCGACUACUUUCCAAAGGCUCCAUCUCCAAAUACAAUCACAUUGGAGGUAGGGCUUCAACAUAUGAAUUUGGGGUCGGGGGUUGCAGGAACACAAACAUUCAGGCCAUAACACCAGCAAUUGAGUGGUCUGGUACAGUUAAACAAGCAGGCAAACCCAGAUGAUCUUGGUUUAACUCCCAAUGCUGUUGUGCUUAGGUUACCCUGAGAUUCUGGUUCCUUGUGUUAAAGAUGUGUUAGUAAUAACCAGGCAGAGUGUUCGCAGGAGGAUUGAAUGAAAGAAAGCUUUUGUGCCUGACACAGAGAAAGCACACAAUAAAUGGAAGAUGUACUCCCAUUCAUCAAUAAUCUGAAAAGAAAAGAUCUAAUUUAAGUUUGUUCAACCCGUGGCCUGUGGUCCACAUGUGGCCCAGGACGGCUUUCAGUGCAGCCCAACACAAACUUAUAAACUUUCUUAAAACAUUAUGAGACAUUUUUGCAAUUCUUUUUUUUAGCUCAUUAGCUAUCAUUAGUGUUAUUGUAUUGUAUGGUAGCCCAAGAUAAUUCUUCUUCUUCCAGUGUUGCCAGAGAAGCCAAAAGAUUGAACACCCUUGAUCGAAUUGACAGGAAGAAGUUAUUUUUUUCUUACUGGAUUAGUAGCUGUGUGCAUUUGGUGUAUUAAUAUCUGCUUAGAUAAACUUUACUGGGCAUCUAGGCCAGAUGCAGAACUUAUAUUUCAUUUAAAAAGAUCAGUAGUAUCACACACAGUUUAAGAACAGGCUCCAGAGUAAACAAAGCUGGAUUCGGAUACCAGCUCUGCCAUGUACUAAGUGUUUCAGACAGGACAAUAAACAUAUGCAAAAACUCAGAGAGUGAAUAUUGUAUUGCCUCAUUCCUAAUCAAUUAUGAGCAUGGAUGUAUCCACAUCAGGGUUUCUCCACCUCAGCACUCUUGACAUUUUAGGCUGAUAGUCCUUUGUUGUUGAUGGCGGUGAGGUAUUGUCUGAGUGGAAUGUUUAUUAACAUCUCCAGCCUCUAUCCACUAGAUACUAGUGGCACCCUACCCCCAAUCCAGAUAAACAAAAAUGUCUCUAAAUAUUUUCAAAUGACCCCUAGGGGGCAAAUCUACCCUUAGUUGAGAAACAUAGGUUUAUGCUAAUUCUAAUUUAUACUCAGUUGGAUUUAUUCUGAAAAGAAGAGGGGAUUAAUGUCUCAUAUAUUCAGUAUAGAUUUCCUUUUGGAAUGAUUUCUAUUUAAAGAAAAUUAUCUUUUGAAGAUGAAUUAAGUUUAUCUUGAUUGUGUUGGUGGUUUUGUGAGUGUAUACAAUUGUGAAAGCUCAUCUAAUUGUACACUUUAAAUAAUGCAAUUUAUUGUCUAAAAUUAUAUUUUAAUAAAGUUGAUUUUUUUGAAAAAGAAAAUUGCUUAUAUCCUAUUGUGAGUUGAAAAAUGUACUUAUAGAUUUUUACAUGUUCUUGUCGUUGCACACAUAUUUUAAAUACGCAAUUUAAAAUGUAAUUUUUUGUGUGUCAAAAGUCUGUCUAGAUAUUUGCUUUCUAUAAUGGUGUGGCACAUCAUGGGUACAGUUCCAUUCAGAGAAAAAUUUCAGUAGCUGUUUUGUGCCACUAAGUUUUAGAAUCUGUCAUCAUGCCCUAAAAUAACUGCCAGUGGUCAAGAUUUAAAAAAAAACAAAACUAAGCAACAUGAAGAAUGAAAGGGAAAAUUGGCAUCAGAACAAAAGGGGUUGACAAGUGAGAGACUAGUGAGUCUGAAACCCAAAUGGAAUAUCAUCACAGGAGUUCACAUUUGUAUUUGAACUAAUGGUGUGCAUCCGGUUUCAAUGAAAAGUGUACAUUUCAGGUUUGCUAAUCUUUCACCUCUAAGAUCAAAGUCCAGCUACCAGGAGACUUCUGUAUUUAAUAGUGCUGUUUUCAGUAUUGUUUAGACUCUCAUUAUUUCUGGUCCUGUGAACAGUGUGUUUCAGCUCUAUUGCAGGCAAAUUCAAUUUGGCCCUCUGAGAGUACAAUAUAGGACUCCUAACCUCAGGAACUUGCAGCAUCAUGGGGGAGACUGAAAUAGAUUUAUUUAUUUAUGUAUAUUUUUGAAAUUUUAUUUUUAUUUUAUUUUUUAUUUAAAAAAGUUUUAAAUUAAUUAAAAAAUUGUGAAUACAUAGUAGGUAUAUGUAUUUAUGGGGUAUGUAAGAUAUUUUGAUACAGGCAUGUAAUGUGAAAUAAGUCCAUCAUGGAGAAUGGGAUAUCCAUCCCCUCAAGCAUUUAUCCUUUGAGUUACAAGCAAUCCAAUUACAUUCUUUAACUUAUUUAAAAAUAUACAAUUAAGUUAUUAUUGACUAUAGUCACCCUAUUGUGCUACCAAAUAGUAGGUCUUUUGAUUCUUUCUUUUUUUUUUUUUUGUACCCACUAACCAUCCCCACCUCCUCCCUCCUCCCCGUGAAAUAGAUUUAAAGAAUUACAAGAUGAAACAGAGCAUAAUAAAUGCUCUCAACACAGAGGUGAAAACAGCUGCAUUCUUCUGGGAAAUCCGGGUGAGGCUUCCUAUCAUAGAAAGUAAUGGUGAAAGAGACCUUCAGUGGUUGUUUAGGGAGAUUCACAAGUCUGGCUCUUAUGGACUAUUUUAGAAAUAUGGCUUCAAAAGGCAUCACUCCAAACCUACUGCUAUGGUUUCGAUGUUUGUCCCCUCCAAGCCUUAUGUUGAAAUUUGAGCUCCAGUGUUGGAAGUGGGGCCUAAUGGGAAGUGUUUGGGUCAUGAAAGCAGGUCUCUCAUGAAUAGAUUAAUGCCCUCCUUUUGGGGUGAGUGAGUUCUCACUGUAUUUGUUCCUGCAAGAGCUGGUUGUUAAAGAGAGCCUGGCACCUCUCUCUUGUAUCUUGCUUUCUCUCUUACCAUGUGAUAUCUCCACACUCUAGCUCUCUUUUACCUUCCACUAUGAGUAGAAGCACCAUGAGGCCCUCACAAGAUGCAAAUGUUCAACCUUGAAUGUUGCAGCCGUCAGAAUUGUGAGCCAAAUAAACCUUUUUUUCCUUACAAGUUACCCAGCCUUGUGUAUUCCUUUACAGCAACACAAAAUAGACUAAGACACCCAAGGAAUCAGAAUUUCUAGAGUGAAGGUAUUAGGAGUCAGAAUCAUUAAAAAGUUCUCCUAGUGAUUCAGAUGAUAAACUAGGCUUUGGGAGCCACUGAUCCUAUCAACAAUCUACUCAAUGCUAGAAUUCUCUGAACAGAAUUUCUUCAAGGUUUUGUUUAGUACUUCUAGAACACAGCAAGCUCACUACCUCACAGGACAGCCCUUCAUGGGGAAUGUGUAACGUGUAGGGUUUUGAUAGUCAGAGGUGGAGGGUAAGGGUGUUUGAGGCAGAGUGAAUAUUAGAAAUAAUCAGAAAAUAGAGGGAGAUAAGUUUGGAAGGAAAACUUGGAACUCCUGCAGGAGGAAACCUGUGCCAGGAUGAAGGGCUUGGAGAGCUGACUGCAGGAGCUCAAGUGAGGAGUAAUAAGAGUUUGGAUUAGAAGCAAUAGGAAUGGCAAAGAGGAGGAAAGAAAAAACUGCAUUGCAGGGCUAGCCUACAAAGCUUGAUGACUGGGAACGAGGAUGAUUCAAAGUUGAUUCUUGGAUUUUGAGGUCCUGGAGUACAAAAACAUUAACCAGGACAGUGACAUUAGGAUCAGGAAUAGGUUGAAAAGGCAGAUUACAAAUCAGAUUUUGACAUUUGAAAAUGCAUUUGUUUCUGUCACCUCCGACAUCACUCUAUCACUUGUCCCAGGGCAGAGUUUAUCUAUGACUCCCUGUGUAUGCUCAGAGAUUGGCACUGAGUACACUCUCAGAAUGUCUGGUGAAUGAAGAGCCACUGUAAGUGUCUUCUCCAUUUGUGUCCUCCCUGCUUUAGUUUAGGACCUUAUUUCUCACUUGAAUCAUUGCAGACUCAAGGUCCCUAGCUUAUACCACUGUCUUUGUGUGUUUUAGAACAAGGCACCCCCUGCGGGUUUAUAAAUUAGAAAAAGAGCCUGCAUUUAAAUGAGUACAGCCCUUUGUUCAGGGCUUAGGAAGCAAAGUUCACCUUUGUGGGAUGAUAAACAUAUCCCUUCCUGCAGGAGGAAACUUCCUGUACCAGGAUGGAGGGCUUAGAGAGCUGACUGCAGAGGUGGAAUUUUAGAUCUCACUCAUUCCCUCAGCUGGCACAGAGCACCCUGGAAAUGUCUCCCAGUUGGCCAACUUGAUCCUGCCUUGCCAUAUCUGUCUCUUUUCCCCCCCCUAGAAUUAUUUCCUGAAGUACCUGCCAUUUCUAUUUCCCUCAGUCAGAGUGAUUUUUUUUGUAAUUCUAAAAUGUAAUCAUAUCAUAUCAUAUCACAUUCUGCUUCAAACCUCUCCAUGUUUCUCCAGUAGCUGCAGCAUGAAGUCCAAAGUCCUUAACUUGUAACAAAAGUCCAUUUACGACAGAUUCUUCUGAGCCUCUUCUCCAGCAGCCACUCUCCUUCACCAUCUUCCUCUUCAGCUGUAGUUCCCUGAACUGACACUGCACAAACAGGCUCCACUGCCCUCACUCCUGGCCCAACAGGCACUGCCCCUCCCCAGUGCCCCAGAUGGCCAGACUGCUUCUCGUUUCUCCCAGAUCAAGGAAGCUGUUCCUGUCCUAAUUCCAGUGUAGAUUAGCACCUGUCCCCCUGCACCCUUCCCUUCUGCACUGAUACCUAGGACCCAGAACUUUCCAGGUUGUGGAGAUUCCGCUUUCCUGUCUGUGACCUCCCUGAGGACUAAAAAUGUGUUUUGUUUGUGUCUUUUCCUCUAGUAUUUGGCUCAGUCUUGUUGAAUGGACAAAUGAAAAUCUGACUUAGAGAUAAAUGAAAAAUGUAGAUUUUUUUUAUCACCAAAAAACCCCAAAACCAAAACCCAGACACCAAAAAAUCCAAACAACAACAAAACCCUCAAACCAAAGAAAAAAAAAAAACCCAAAUGUUUUUUGCUUCUUUCUGAACAUGAGGUAUCUUGUGAGUGGUCAAAGCCCUUUUCUUUUCCAUAUUUUCUGUAGUCUUGAAAUGGCUAUUCAUUUAGGAGGUUAAUAGUCUAUGGGAAGAUAAUUACUUUGGUUUAUUUUACAUCCUGUGGCUUUAUUUUAAGGCUGAUUUGCUCUGGUGUGCUUAUGUAUUUAAUAUUUGUGAGAUACUUUAAGAAAAAUUGCCACCAGGCUUGGUGGCUGAUGCCUAUAAACCCAGUGCUUUGGGAGGCCAAGGCAGGAGGAUUGCUUGAGGCUAGGCAUUUGUGACCAGCCUGGG